RNAcentral lists this ribosomal RNA (3130 nucleotides) under Salmonella enterica subsp. enterica serovar Mbandaka. Its description in RNAcentral is "bacterial LSU rRNA". It matches the Rfam family "Bacterial large subunit ribosomal RNA". Lineage: Bacteria; Pseudomonadati; Pseudomonadota; Gammaproteobacteria; Enterobacterales; Enterobacteriaceae. The record is from RNAcentral.
GGGUUGUGAGGUUAAGCGACUAAGCGUACACGGUGGAUGCCCUGGCAGUCAGAGGCGAUGAAGGGCGUGCUAAUCUGCGAUAAGCGCCGGUAAGGUGAUAUGAACCGUUAUAACCGGCGAUACCCGAAUGGGGAAACCCAGUGUGAUUCGUCACACUAUCAUUAACUGAAUCCAUAGGUUAAUGAGGCGAACCGGGGGAACUGAAACAUCUAAGUACCCCGAGGAAAAGAAAUCAACCGAGAUUCCCCCAGUAGCGGCGAGCGAACGGGGAGGAGCCCAGAGCCUGAAUCAGCAUGUGUGUUAGUGGAAGCGUCUGGAAAGGCGCGCGAUACAGGGUGACAGCCCCGUACACAAAAGCGCAUGUGCUGUGAGCUCGAUGAGUAGGGCGGGACACGUGGUAUCCUGUCUGAAUAUGGGGGGACCAUCCUCCAAGGCUAAAUACUCCUGACUGACCGAUAGUGAACCAGUACCGUGAGGGAAAGGCGAAAAGAACCCCGGCGAGGGGAGUGAAAAAGAACCUGAAACCGUGUACGUACAAGCAGUGGGAGCCCCACCUUUUGUAUAAUGGGUCAGCGACUAAGCCAGUGGUGAACUCCACAUACGCAUCCUUUGCUGAGGAUACGGUUAACGGAGCGAAAGCGACGUUCAACCUCAAAAGAAGCAGAGGGGGCUUAGUGGUGGGGUGACUGCGUACCUUUUGUAUAAUGGGUCAGCGACUUAUAUUCUGUAGCAAGGUUAACCGAAUAGGGGAGCCGGAGGGAAACCGAGUCUUAAUUGGGCGUUAAGUUGCAGGGUAUAGACCCGAAACCCGGUGAUCUAGCCAUGGGCAGGUUGAAGGUUGGGUAACACUAACUGGAGGACCGAACCGACUAAUGUUGAAAAAUUAGCGGAUGACCUGUGGCUGGGGGUGAAAGGCCAAUCAAACCGGGAGAUAGCUGGUUCUCCCCGAAAGCUAUUUAGGUAGCGCCUCGUGAAUUCAUCUCCGGGGGUAGAGCACUGUUUCGGCUAGGGGGCCAUCCCGGCUUACCAACCCGAUGCAAACUGCGAAUACCGGAGAAUGUUAUCACGGGAGACACACGGCGGGUGCUAACGUCCGUCGUGAAGAGGGAAACAACCCAGACCGCCAGCUAAGGUCCCAAAGUCAUGGUUAAGUGGGAAACGAUGUGGGAAGGCCCAGACAGCCAGGAUGUUGGCUUAGAAGCAGCCAUCAUUUAAAGAAAGCGUAAUAGCUCACUGGUCGAGUCGGCCUGCGCGGAAGAUGUAACGGGGCUAAACCAUGCACCGAAGCUGCGGCAGCGAACGUAUCACCCAAGACAACUUUACGGAGUUGACGAUUGACGGAGCGAAGCGACGUCAAAGCGUUCAUUAAAGUCGAGUUGGCUUAGGGAUACGUUCGUUGGGUAGGGGAGCGUUCUGUAAGCCUGUGAAGGUGGCCUGUGAGGGUUGCUGGAGGUAUCAGAAGUGCGAAUGCUGACAUAAGUAACGAUAAAGCGGGUGAAAAGCCCGCUCGCCGGAAGACCAAGGGUUCCUGUCCAACGUUAAUCGGGGCAGGGUGAGUCGACCCCUAAGGCGAGGCCGAAAGGCGUAGUCGAUGGGAAACGGGUUAAUAUUCCCGUACUUGGUGUUACUGCGAAGGGGGGACGGAGAAGGCUAUGUUGGCCGGGCGACGGUUGUCCCGGUUUAAGCGUGUAGGCUGGUUUUCCAGGCAAAUCCGGAAAAUCAAGGCUGAGGCGUGACGACGAGGCACUACGGUGCUGAAGCAACAAAUGCCCUGCUUCCAGGAAAAGCCUCUAAGCAUCAGGUAACAUCAAAUCGUACCCCAAACCGACACAGGUGGUCAGGUAGAGAAUACCAAGGCGCUUGAGAGAACUCGGGUGAAGGAACUAGGCAAAAUGGUGCCGUAACUUCGGGAGAAGGCACGCUGACAUGUAGGUGAAGUGAUUUACUCAUGGAGCUGAAGUCAGUCGAAGAUACCAGCUGGCUGCAACUGUUUAUUAAAAACACAGCACUGUGCAAACACGAAAGUGGACGUAUACGGUGUGACGCCUGCCCGGUGCCGGAAGGUUAAUUGAUGGGGUCAGCGCAAGCGAAGCUCCUGAUCGAAGCCCCGGUAAACGGCGGCCGUAACUAUAACGGUCCUAAGGUAGCGAAAUUCCUUGUCGGGUAAGUUCCGACCUGCACGAAUGGCGUAAUGAUGGCCAGGCUGUCUCCACCCGAGACUCAGUGAAAUUGAACUCGCUGUGAAGAUGCAGUGUACCCGCGGCAAGACGGAAAGACCCCGUGAACCUUUACUAUAGCUUGACACUGAACAUUGAGCCUUGAUGUGUAGGAUAGGUGGGAGGCUUUGAAGUGUGGACGCCAGUCUGCAUGGAGCCGACCUUGAAAUACCACCCUUUAAUGUUUGAUGUUCUAACGUGGACCCGUUACCCGGGUUGCGGACAGUGUCUGGUGGGUAGUUUGACUGGGGCGGUCUCCUCCUAAAGAGUAACGGAGGAGCACGAAGGUUGGCUAAUCCUGGUCGGACAUCAGGAGGUUAGUGCAAUGGCAUAAGCCAGCUUGACUGCGAGCGUGACGGCGCGAGCAGGUGCGAAAGCAGGUCAUAGUGAUCCGGUGGUUCUGAAUGGAAGGGCCAUCGCUCAACGGAUAAAAGGUACUCCGGGGAUAACAGGCUGAUACCGCCCAAGAGUUCAUAUCGACGGCGGUGUUUGGCACCUCGAUGUCGGCUCAUCACAUCCUGGGGCUGAAGUAGGUCCCAAGGGUAUGGCUGUUCGCCAUUUAAAGUGGUACGCGAGCUGGGUUUAGAACGUCGUGAGACAGUUCGGUCCCUAUCUGCCGUGGGCGCUGGAGAACUGAGGGGGGCUGCUCCUAGUACGAGAGGACCGGAGUGGACGCAUCACUGGUGUUCGGGUUGUCAUGCCAAUGGCACUGCCCGGUAGCUAAAUGCGGAAGAGAUAAGUGCUGAAAGCAUCUAAGCACGAAACUUGCCCCGAGAUGAGUUCUCCCUGAGACUUAGAGUCUCCUGAAGGAACGUUGAAGACGACGACGUUGAUAGGCCGGGUGUGUAAGCGCAGCGAUGCGUUGAGCUAACCGGUACUAAUGAACCGUGAGGCUUAACCUUACAACGCCGAAG